This 397-nucleotide ribosomal RNA is filed under the name uncultured prokaryote. RNAcentral's name for it is "bacterial SSU rRNA". It matches the Rfam family "Bacterial small subunit ribosomal RNA", at positions 355 to 768 of the family's 1533-position model. The record is from RNAcentral.
CAGGGAAUCUUGCACAAUGGACGAAAGUCUGAUGCAGCGACGCCGCGUGGGGGAUGAAGGCCCUAGGGUCGUAAACCCCUUUCAGUGGGGACGAAAAUGACGGUACCCACAGAAGAAGGUCCGGCCAACUACGUGCCAGCAGCCGCGGUAAGACGUAGGGACCGAGCGUUGUCCGGAAUUAUUGGGGGUAAAGAGCUCGUAGGCGGUUGCGUAAGUCGGAUGUGAAAGCUCAGGGCUCAACCCUGAGACGCCAUCCGAUACUGCGCUGACUUGAAUCCAGUAGGGGAGUGUGGAAUUCCUGGUGUAGCGGUGAAAUGCGCAGAUAUCAGGAGGAACACCUAUGGCGAAGGCAGCACUCUGGGCCAUUCCUGACGCUGAGACGCGAAAGCGUGGGGAG